Molecule: ribosomal RNA, 253 nt
Filed under: uncultured bacterium
Lineage: Bacteria
Description: partial 16S ribosomal RNA
Rfam family: Bacterial small subunit ribosomal RNA
Source: RNAcentral
UACGUAGGGUCCGAGCGUUGUCCGGAAUUACUGGGCGUAAAGAGCUCGUAGGUGGUUUGUCGCGUUGUUCGUGAAAACUCACAGCUCAACUGUGGGCGUGCGGGCGAUACGGGCAGACUUGAGUACUGCAGGGGAGACUGGAAUUCCUGGUGUAGCGGUGGAAUGCGCAGAUAUCAGGAAGAACACCGGUGGCGAAGGCGGCUCUCUGGGCCUUACCUGACGCUGAGGAGCGAAAGCGUGGGUAGCGAACAGG